Transfer RNA from Leucosporidium creatinivorum, 83 nucleotides. It matches the Rfam family "tRNA". Rfam says of the family: Transfer RNA (tRNA) molecules are approximately 80 nucleotides in length. Their secondary structure includes four short double-helical elements and three loops (D, anti-codon, and T loops). Further hydrogen bonds mediate the characteristic L-shaped molecular structure. tRNAs have two regions of fundamental functional importance: the anti-codon, which is responsible for specific mRNA codon recognition, and the 3' end, to which the tRNAs corresponding amino acid is attached (by aminoacyl-tRNA synthetases). tRNAs cope with the degeneracy of the genetic code in two manners: having more than one tRNA (with a specific anti-codon) for a particular amino acid; and 'wobble' base-pairing, i.e. permitting non-standard base-pairing at the 3rd anti-codon position. The record is from Rfam. Lineage: Eukaryota; Fungi; Basidiomycota; Microbotryomycetes; Leucosporidiales; Leucosporidiaceae.
GUUCUGAUAGCUCAGUGGUAGAGCGGGCGACUCCAGUUGAUGGAUACAUCGUCAGGUCGGGCGUUCAAUCCGCUCUCGGGACU